AUCUUUAGUUGAUUAAAGAAUUUCGGAAACGGAUAGGCUCGCGUGACAUUAGCUAGAUGGCGGGGUAACGGCCCACCAUGGCGACGAUGUCUAGGGGUUCUGAGAGGAAGGUCCCCCACACUGGAACUGAGACACGGUCCAGACUCCUACGGGAGGCAGCAGUGAGGAAUAUUGGUCAAUGGUCGAAGGACUGAACCAGCCAUGCCGCGUGAAGGUGACGGCCCUAUGGGUCUUAAACUUCUUUUGUAAGGGAGCAAUAAGUCCUACGUGUAGGACGAUGAGAGUACCUUACGAAUAAGCAUCGGCUAACUCCGUGCCAGCAGCCGCGGUAAUACGGGGGAUGCAAGCGUUAUCCGGAUUUAUUGGGUUUAAAGGGUGCGUAGGCGGUCUGGUAAGUCAGCGGUGAAAUUUAGGGGCUCAACCUCUACCGUGCCGUUGAUACUGCCGGGCUAGAAUGCGGAUGCCGUGGGAGGAAUGUGUGGUGUAGCGGUGAAAUGCAUAGAUAUCACACAGAACACCGAUUGCGAAGGCAUCUCACGAAUCCGCAAUUGACGCUGAGGCACGAAAGCGUGGGGAUCAAACAGGAUUAGAUACCCUGGUAGUCCACGCUGUAAACGAUGAUGACUAACCGUCGGCGAUACACUGUCGGUGGCCAAGCGAAAGCGAUAAGUCAUCCACCUGGGGAGUACGACCGCAAGGUUGAAACUCAAAGGAAUUGACGGGGGCCCGCACAAGCGGAGGAACAUGUGGUUUAAUUCGAUGAUACGCGAGGAACCUUACCCGGGCUCGAACGGCAGGGGAAUGAAUCAGAGAUGGUUCAGUCUUCGGACUCCUGUCGAGGUGCUGCAUGGUUGUCGUCAGCUCGUGCUGUGAAGUGUCGGCUUAAGUGCCAUAACGAGCGCAACCCUUGCCGUUAGUUGCCAUCAGGUUAUGCUGGGGACUCUAGCGGGACUGCCACCGCAAGGUGUGAGGAAGGGGGGGAUGACGUCAAAUCAGCACGGCCCUUACGUCCGGGGCGACACACGUGUUACAAUGGCGAGUACAGAGGGAAGCUACCUGGCGACAGGAUGCAGAUCUCGAAAGCUCGUCCCAGUUCGGAUUGGAGUCUGCAACCCGACUCCAUGAAGUUGGAUUCGCUA
RNAcentral lists this ribosomal RNA (1139 nucleotides) under uncultured bacterium. RNAcentral describes it as "bacterial SSU rRNA". It matches the Rfam family "Bacterial small subunit ribosomal RNA", at positions 189 to 1337 of the family's 1533-position model. The record is from RNAcentral.